This is a non-coding RNA of Rattus norvegicus (Norway rat), 6835 nucleotides long. Lineage: Eukaryota; Metazoa; Chordata; Mammalia; Rodentia; Muridae. The record is from RefSeq and is a predicted model, not a curated record.
UGCUACAUAUAUUAUUCACAUCUCUGAGAGAGAAAAGUAAUAGCCAACAAUGAAAUUUCAUUGCCUAAUAAAUUUUAGAAGAAAAAUUGUUCUUUUCAUUUGAUUUGCUUAUAGUCAUAAAUGCUCCAUAGUUCUUUUAAAAGAGUUCACUUGUUCUUCGGAUGGCCUUUUAUGGAUCACUUUGAUCAGAACUGCUGCUGGAAGCCAAGUAGGUCUCAUACUAGAGGUUACAGAAGUUGACAAAUUUAUAUGCACUUAAAAUCUACUUUUGCAAUCAAGUAAACAGGGUCUUAGAGUAUAGACACCUCAAGCUUGGAAGCCCUAGAAGGACUGAGUUGAGAGUCUGACUAAGCAGGUAGGUAAACUGUGAGAGUCAGCUAUUUAUUGUGUUUGGUUCUGGGACACUGCUAGAGUUUUCAAAGUCAGGCAAGCAUUAGGAAGCUCAACUUCAUGUUGAGCCUAAGUCAUGCAGAACAUUAUUUGAAAGGCUAAAUUUUGAGGGCAGUGGAGCUCUAGCCUGGCUUUAUGUAGGGAAUAGGUCACUGCUGAGCAGAAUUCAUCAUAGGUAGUAUAGAGAGGGAUUGUAAAUGGAUCCUGAAAAUAGAUAGAUAAUAACAUGCUGACAUGAUCCUGAGCUAUUCAAAAGCAACAAACAGAUGGUCAUGUGUAAAUAAACAAAUAACUGAAAUCCAAACAUUUCUGAAAGGCUAAUGUCAGAAACCAGAGGUUUAGACCGGGAUGUUUGGAAAUGUAAUUUUGCUUUGUGCAAUGUAAUUGUUGUCUCAGAGGCUUACUGCUGAGUAAGCUCACUUUCUCUAGCUCUUUUUGAACUCUGGAUGGCUGGUUCAACUCAGUUAUUCUUGCUCAAACUCCUCUCUAAGCUGACUAUAUAAAUCUGGCUUCUCUCAACUUCUCACUGAGUUGCUCUGCAUGGACUCAAACUAGCUCUGGCAAUCUGUUCUAAUUUUCCAUCUCCCUCUUAUUCUCUGCUUCAACUGCCUCUGCUGAUCUGCCCUGAACUGAGAAUUCAAUUCCACUGUGCUGCACUCACUGCACUGUCCCCCAACUGAGUCAUUAAACUCACCUUCACUCCACCAUUGAUGGAACUCAAUUGACUCUGAACUCACUGACCUGCCCUGCCCUCUCAAUUAUCAGUCACUUUCAAACUUCACUGCUUCCUCUUAUAAACUAACCUUACUUUCAUUGUUUGGGAUUAACUGUGUGUAUUAAGGUAAUGUCUGCAUUCCAGCCAGAUCACACAAACCUAGAAGGUCUUUGGAUGUGAUCUUGCAACAGCAACUAAAACUCCUCUAUAGAUGUUACAGUGGUUGCAUAUAUUUUGGCAAAAUUAUUGAACAUCAUAGGUAAGUUAUUUCUGGAAAAUGUAAGCAUUCCUCUGCUAAUUUUUCCUCCUGGACCUAAAUAUUUCAUAACCUUUGAAAUGUAUUCUUUUUACUAUUUUGGUUUUUCAUGAGACAGGGUUCUCUGUAUAGCCAUGAUUAUCCUGGAAUGCACUAUGUUGUCCACAAUGGCUUCAAAUUCACUGAAGUCUGCUUGUCUCUGACUCUUGAGUGCUGAGAUUAUUUCUAUGUUCUUGCCGGUUGUGGUGGCGCACGCCGGUAGGAUUUGCUGAAGGAGGCAGAGGCAGGAGGAUCACGAGUUCUAUGUUCUACCACUGCCUGAAAAGGUCUGUUCUUGAGAAGCGUACAAUAUUCUUAACCAAAUCUUACCAAGAAAAAUGAAGAAACAGGUGGCUGACCUUGUUGCUACUCUUCACUUAGGGACAGAACAGAAUAUUGAAUUAACUUAUAAUCAAGUGUGUAGGAAAGAUGUGCUGACAGAGAAUGCUUUAAGUGAAUUUUACUGAUUCAGCUUUUGAAUGUGGACAGAAUAAAAUUCCCAAGGCUUCUGGUUGGAAUGCAACCACAUAGUUCUGAUACUCUAUGAGGAAGAAGCCAUGAGGUUUGCUUUUGAACAUGAGAAGGAAGACUUGAACUUUCCAGAGAAUAGCAGGAUGGGAACAGCUCUGCACCUGAACAUAACAAGUGUGAUUUUUUUUUUCGGUAAGGAUUUUCUGUCAAGCUGUCAUUUUUCUUAUUGCUCACUCAUUGCAGUGUAGACUUGACACAAUUACAAGAAUAUGUAAAAUUAUUCUUAAUAUUUUAAAAGUGGAAUAAUACUGCAUAUUAUUUCAUUUUAAAAGAUAUAAAAAGUACCACAUUUACAUUUUACAAAUGACUUUCCAGAAUUAGCUAGCUAUCAAUGAUUACACUUUUGAAAACCUAAAGUUCAGCUUCUCUAUGUUGUGAAUGCCUGCCAAAGGAAAGAGCUGAGACUUCAGUGCAUUUGAUGUAGAUACUCUCUUGGAAUAAAAGUGUUCCAAAGAUUUCCAUGCCUACAUAAUAAAUGAAUGAGUAAGUAGCCUCAUAAAAUUAUCACUGAGGCAGCAGAUGUCUGCUCAAUACAGUCCUUACAUCUUAAUUCAAUUAUUUUAGUUAAUAUAUAUUUUAAGCUUCAAGAGACAGAACUUAAAAUGGCUUUUGUAUAACUCACUCGACAUGAAUAUUAAGAAGGAACAGAAUUGUCCUAGUCUGUUUUCUAUUGCUGUGAAAAACACCAUGAUCUGUGGAGGAAAGGCUUUAAUUCACUUGUUUGUUCAGAUCACAAUGGAUUAACUCAAACAGGGCAGGAACCCAAAGGUAGAAACUGAUUCCGAGGCCAUGGAGGAACACUGCUUAGAGGUUUCUUUUCCCCAAAUUCUUGUUCCACCUGCUUUCUUACAUAACACAGGCAAACCAGCCCAGAAGUAGCACCACCUACAGACAGGUGGAGCCAUCCACACCAAUGCUUAACCAAGAAAAUGCCUCAUGGACAUUCUCACAGGCCAAUCUGAUGGAAGACAUUUUCAAUUGGCAUUUCACCCUUCCUCAUGUGAAUAGGUUUGUGUCACGUUGGUAAAAACCAACCAACACAAAUAAUUGUCCAAGGACAGGUGGCUGAUGCUUUGAAAUACAGUUUUCCUGGAGAAGGUGGGAGUCAGCUAAUAAAAUGUCCAUUGGAUCCUCAUGCCUGAUUAUCAUCCUUCCUCUCCUUUCAUUUCAGAGAUGUUCCUCAUCUCACUCUGAUUCCCACCCCUUAUGUUGACUACAUCUUAGCACUUAUCAGUUAUUUAUUCUCCUCUUUCUUUUAGGAUGUGCUCUCUCUUGCUACUCUCUUCAUAGUUUAUAAACACAGUACAAUUAUUUUAUUCUAAAGCAAAUUCCCUUUCCCAAUGCUGUUCUUGAAUAUGCCUUUUUGAAUCAAGGACCAGCACUAGCUGGUCAGCUUUUUCCUUCCCCAAACAUUUUUUGCUGAAACAUUCUGUGGCCAUUCUGAAAAGACCUUGUUGGGGACUUUGUACCACCCAGCUAACUGCCAUGUUUAGUUAAAUCUUACCCAAUUUCACUGAAUCAGUUCUUAGCCGGAAUUUUUCCCCUAUAACUCCUUUCUUCAUUGCUUUCUCAGUAAACAACUAUUUCCACAUUCCCGCCUCUGUGCCUCCACAUUGCCCUUGAUCUGCCUUUACUACUCCAUAUUGUCUCUUUUUUUUCUUUUAACUUUUACCUUUAUUUAUAUACAUGAAUGUUUGCCUACAUAUGUUUGUGUGAAAUACCAACAGAAUCCAGAAGAAGGCAGGGGAAGCAUGGAAAUGUACCUACAGCAAAUGUUUAGAUAACAUAUGGUUUCUGGGAAUGGAACCUCGGUCUGCUGUAACAACACUAGUUGUUCUUUUUUUCCCCUCCAUCUUUAUUAACUUGGGUAUUUCUUAUUUACAUUUCAAUUGUUUUUCCAGGCCAACAUCCCCCUAACCUCUCCCCUUCCCCUUCUAUAUGGGUGUUCCCCUCCAUCCUCCCCCCAUUAUCAGGUUCCCCCUAACAAGCCCAUUCACUGGGGGUUCAGUCUUGGCAGGACCAAGGGCUUCCCCUUCCCCUGGUGCCCUUACUAGGCUAUUCAUUGCUACCUAUGCAGUUGGAGCCCAGGGUCAGUCCAGGGAUGGUCUUUGGGUAGUGGCUUAGUCCCUGGAAGCUCUGGUUGGUUGGCAUUGUUGUUCAUAUGGAGUCUCAAGCCCCUUCAAGCUCUUUCAGUCCUUUUUCUGAUUCCUUCAACGGGGGUCCUGUCCUCAGUUCAGUGAUUUGCUGCUGUCAUUCACCUGUGUAUUUGCUGUAUUCUGGCUGUGUCUCUCAGGAGAGAUCUACAUCCGGUUCCUGUCAGCCUGUACUUCUUUGCUUAAUUCAUCUUAUCUAGUUUGGUGGCUGUAUAUGUAUGGGCUCCGAAUGGGUGUUCCUUCUGCCUCUGUUCUAAACGGUGUCUCCCUAUUCCUUCCCAAGGGUAUUCUUGUUCCCCCUUUUAAAGAAGGAAUGAAGCAUUCGCAUUUUGGUCAUCCUUCUUGAGUUUCAGGUGUUCUGUAUAUCUAGGGUAAUUUGAGCAUUUGGACUAAUAUCCACUUAUCAAUGAGUGCAUACCAUGUGUGUUUUUCUGUGAUUGGGUUAGCUCACUCAGGAUGAUAUUUUCCAGUUCCAUCCAUUUGCCUAUGAAUUUCAUAAAGUCGUUGUUUUUGAUAGCUGAGUAAUAUUCCAUUGUGUAGAUGUAUCACAUUUUCUGUAUCCAUUCCACUGUUGAAGGGCAUCUGGGUUCUUUCCAGCUUCUGGCUAUUAUAAAUAAGGCUGCUAUGAACAUAGAGGAGCAUGUGUCUUUGUUAUAUGUUGGGGCAUCUUUUAGGUAUAUACCCAAGAGAGGUAUAGCUGGGUCCUCAGGCAGUUCAAUGUCCAAUUUUCUAAGGAACCUCCAGACUGAUUUCCGGAAUGGUUGUACCAGUCUGCAAUCCCGGUGUUCCCCAUACCCCAUGGCCCCUGCCUCCCACCUUCCAGGUGAGUCUUGCCUUUACUCUGGUGACUUUGUAACCUCUGAACUGUCCAAGGGGUAUCAACCUGCCCAGAGGAUGCUACUUAACUGUUGCUCCCUCAACAGGAAGGGCUACACUGAUGCCUUCAUCCAAUUUCUGAGGCUACAACUUUCCCAAGGUCCCCUGCACUUGUUUACAGUAAUAGCCAAACUGGUCAUCUCAGUGAGAAGAACAACUGAAAAGCAGAUGAGCAGAGUUACAGAGCCAGAAGUACAAGAGGCUACAGGCACCACUUGGGCAGCAGAAGUGAGGUUCAUUUGAAAAAGCUUGAGUGACUCACAUCAGAAUCAUGAGUGUGCAAUUUGGAAACUGGACUAUUUCUCAGAGCUCUGCUUCGUGGUCAACUCAAAGUUCCUGUCAGCAAGGGAGAGUUGGCAGUUGGGAGGCAAUGUUUAUUUCAUAUAAUUAUCUGGUACCCCACUAUCAGCAUCAUAAACAUGUAGCUCAGGUUUUAUGUUACUUGAUAAUUACCAAAUUUCUUGUUCCAGAGUGGAGAUAAUGGGGAAAAGGAAUGUGGUGUUAAAAGAAACAAACAGUAAAGAAAAGAAAAAAGAAAGCCUUGAAACGCUGUAGGCUGAUGAGCAUCCGUGGCUGAAUUUGCCUUGAUAAUAGGGUUAAUAGCAUGCCGAUAUUUUAAGAAACACACAGUUGAAAACAAAUAGCUAUUAUAAGUGGCAUUCCGCCUUCAGCAUCAAUCUUAUUGAGAAUAAUACAUUGAUAAAUUUCAAUCCCAUUACACUUCCCAGCUUGUAAUAGUCCCUGGGAAAUACAAAAUACUGAAUAAAAAAGAUGGCUAAACUAGGGGCAAAACUUAGCUUGUUAAGAACUUACAUAGUGUGUAUGAGACACAAGGUGCCAUUCCUGCACUGCCAAAGGAAGUAAAAAGGUAAGAGGCUUCCCUUGUCUUAUCCCACCCCUCCCUUUGCAAUAGGUCUCUUCUACAGGUGUUCUGACAUCUUGACAUUUUUCUAUUCAAUCAUUAGCCAAGUCUACUUACCACUCAGGGACUAUUCCUCAGAUGCCUCCAAUGUAUCUUGACAUAACAGUGAAGACAGCAUAUAACUCAUUAUAGAGUUAAUUUAAAGAGACAUAUAUCAUGUUAGAGGUUAUUGAAGGAAGAAAAGGGAACUGAGGUACUCAAUUAUUGCAAUGAAUUAAACUGCCUUUGUUCCUGGUUUAGGGCACACUGCACCCUCCCAUGAGCUCUCUGGAUUCAUGAAUGAAGGAUACACACCGCCACCACCACCACCACCACCACCACUACCAUCAUCAUCAUCAUCAUCAUCAUCAUCAUCAUCAUCAUCAGCAGCAGCAGCAGCAGCAGCAGCAGCAGCAGCAAAUUUCGAUAUGCCUUGACUAGCUCCAUACUGAGCACUUCUAAACCUCCCUGUGACUAGCAAACACUCCCCUCUGAUGAAAAUGUCCCUGGGGACUGACUCGGAUGAUGAGAAAGACUUUUAGAAGGUAUGUAGUGAAAAGUCAUGACAGGUGUAUCAGUCAUGAAUCACAGGACUUCACGUCAUGAGUACUCCUGCUCUUUGGGACUGAGGACUUUUGACCUCAAUCCUCCCUCAGACUCAGGAAACUCUCGACACAAGUGAUGACAGAACUUGUGAGAUGGGGAUUGUGAUAAUGGACAUUGCUUAUGGCAAGUGGUGUGACAUUUCUCAAAUGCAUCUUGGACUGACUAGAAUGCGACCACACUGCAGACCUCUCUGCACUAAGCAGAAGCGACCUGGGUGAAGAACUUGCUCUGAAAUAACCCAACCCUUCAAGGGUGGAAGGGGAAUUGAACCUUGGUUUCUUUCUUGAAUGUUAUUUCAGGGAGGAAAUGCCUAUGCAAUUAUCAAGCGCACAUUGAAUUAUUAAAUGCUGCCUGUUUACCUGUACAGA